Molecule: unclassified non-coding RNA, 345 nt
Filed under: soil metagenome
Description: partial contains 5.8S ribosomal RNA, internal transcribed spacer 2, and large subunit ribosomal RNA
Rfam family: 5.8S ribosomal RNA (bases 1-120)
Source: RNAcentral
GAUGAAGAACGUAGUGAAAUGCGAUACGUAAUGUGAAUUGCAGAAUUCAGUGAAUCAUCGAGUCUUUGAACGCACAUUGCGCCCCCUGGUAUUCCGGGGGGCAUGCCUGUCCGAGCGUCAUUGCUGCCCUCAAGCACGGCUUGUGUGUUGGGCCUCCGUCCUCCUCCCGGGGGACGGGCCCGAAAGGCAGCGGCGGCACCGCGUCCGGUCCUCGAGCGUAUGGGGCUUCGUCACCCGCUCUUGUAGGCCCGGCCGGCGCUUGCCGACACAUCAAUCUUUUUUCCAGGUUGACCUCGGAUCAGGUAGGGAUACCCGCUGAACUUAAGCAUAACAAUAAGCGGAGGA